Long non-coding RNA from Cryptomeria japonica (Japanese cedar), 497 nucleotides. RefSeq lists it as uncharacterized. NCBI's taxonomy places the organism in Eukaryota, Viridiplantae, Streptophyta, Pinopsida, Cupressales, Cupressaceae. The transcript has 2 exons. The record is from RefSeq and is a predicted model, not a curated record.
GACUAAAGUGAUGAAAAGCAAAACUUAAGAGAUGGUAGGGUUUUGAAACCCUAACAUAUUCAUUCAAACUCUUGCAUUGGAAGCUUCAGGUAGAAGCUCAGCCGCCAUGCAUGGAAAACUGAGGGUUUCAUGUCGCCAUGCCAGGAAUGACUCGAACUGAGGCUUGAACUUCAUGCUUCUAGUUUUCGACUACUCCAAACUGAUACUUUUCAUUAACAGGAUUUUGAGGAUGCGAAGCUGAUUUUUUCGUGAAGUUACUCGGCCAUAGCUGGAGGGAGACUGAAUAACAGAAGGAAGAUGCUCAUUGCCGCGAGCAAUUAUGGAACACUUGCGUUCUCUCCUCUCUUCUAGUUAGCAAUACCAUUUUAUUUACCACAUGUAUCUACUAUUUUUUUCAUACCAUGACUCAAAUAAGGCUAUUCCCACGACUUGUAUGGGAUUCUAAAUUUAACAUUAUGAAUGCAAAUUUUAUGCAAUUAUUGAAUGUGUCUUUCUCA